GAUUCGACAGUGAAGAAGAUAAGUAGAAAGUAAUUUUCUUGUCUAGAGAGAGGGCGUUUGGUGAAAGCCUUUCAGAAAUUUAUUUUUGAAGCUACUUUGGAGUUGAAACGUAGUCGGCGUUAACGAGUGAAUUGAGGGCAUUUUCUAUUUUGGAAAAUGAACUAGGAUGGUACCGCGUAAUUAUACGUUCCUAGA
This 195-nucleotide non-coding RNA is filed under the name Holdemanella biformis. Its description in RNAcentral is "Eubacterium biforme T-box sequence". It matches the Rfam family "T-box leader". From Rfam's summary of the family: Uncharged tRNA acts as the effector for transcription antitermination of genes in the T-box leader family. T-boxes are found upstream of many aminoacyl-tRNA synthetase genes and some amino acid biosynthetic genes usually in Gram-positive bacteria. Lineage: Bacteria; Bacillati; Bacillota; Erysipelotrichia; Erysipelotrichales; Erysipelotrichaceae. The record is from RNAcentral.